This 253-nucleotide ribosomal RNA is filed under the name uncultured bacterium. RNAcentral describes it as "partial 16S ribosomal RNA". It matches the Rfam family "Bacterial small subunit ribosomal RNA", at positions 524 to 776 of the family's 1533-position model. The record is from RNAcentral.
UACGUAGGGGGCUAGCGUUGUCCGGAAUCAUUGGGCGUAAAGAGCGUGUAGGCGGUCCGGUAAGUCCGCUGUGAAAGUCGGGGGCUCAACCCUCGAAUGCCGGUGGAUACUGUCGGGCUAGAGUGCGGAAGAGGCGAGUGGAAUUCCUGGUGUAGCGGUGAAAUGCGCAGAUAUCAGGAGGAACACCUAUUGCGAAGGCAGCUCGCUGGGACGUAACUGACGCUGAGACGCGAAAGCUAGGGGAGCAAACGGG